RNAcentral lists this ribosomal RNA (253 nucleotides) under uncultured bacterium. RNAcentral's name for it is "partial 16S ribosomal RNA". It matches the Rfam family "Bacterial small subunit ribosomal RNA", at positions 524 to 776 of the family's 1533-position model. The record is from RNAcentral.
UACGUAGGCAGCAAGCGUUGUUCGGAGUUAUUGGGCGUAAAGCGCGCGUAGGCGGCUACUUAAGUCGGAUGUGAAAGCCCUUGGCUCAACUGAGGAAGUGCACCCGAAACUGAGUGGCUUGAGUACUAAAGAGGGUCGCGGAAUUCCCGGUGUAGAGGUGAAAUUCGUAGAUAUCGGGAGGAACACCGGUGGCGAAGGCGGCGACCUGGGUCGAUACUGACGCUGAGGCGCGAAAGCGUGGGGAGCAAACAGG